Molecule: unclassified non-coding RNA, 335 nt
Filed under: Hevea brasiliensis (rubber tree)
Lineage: Eukaryota; Viridiplantae; Streptophyta; Magnoliopsida; Malpighiales; Euphorbiaceae
Source: RNAcentral
CCUUUUUACCUGAAGCAAGAAAAACUUUGGCAGCAGCCAUAAAAUCCUCUGUUUUUCCACCAGUACAGGAUCCAAUGUAUACUCUGUCUAUUUUGACAUCUUUGCAUUCUCUUGCUAAAGCACGAUUAUCAGGAGAAUGAGGCUUUGCAACCAAUGGUUCCAGUUUUGAGAUAUCAAAUCUGUACUCGGAAAGAAACCUUGCUUGCUCAUCACUAUAAACUGGUUCAUAGGGCACAGAUGUCUUAUCCUCAAGGUACUUGAAUGUAGUGCUAUCAGCAGGGACAACCCCAUUCUUACCCCCAGCUUCAACAACCAUGUUGCAUAAUGUCAUCCGC